This 1938-nucleotide unclassified non-coding RNA is filed under the name uncultured fungus. RNAcentral's name for it is "sequence contains 18S rRNA gene, ITS1, 5.8S rRNA gene, ITS2, 28S rRNA gene". The stretch from base 819 to 1938 matches the Rfam family "Eukaryotic large subunit ribosomal RNA", at positions 1 to 961 of the family's 3401-position model. The record is from RNAcentral. Lineage: Eukaryota; Fungi.
GGAAGGAUCAUCACUGUAUACCGUCCAUUUGAUCUGGGAAAAACCUCAUUCACUAAAUUAUGAAGAGUCAAAUCUUUAUAUAAAGAAUGAGCCCAGUCAAACCUUUAGUGCGAUUUGUUGAAGUUCUCAAUAGGGAGAUUUUAUAUUUCCCUAUUGUGAUUAAACUCAUGGAAUUAUCGAUAAUUAUUAAAUCAAUUAUACAUUGUAUAAUUGAAUAUCAUUUGAUUUAAAAAAAACAAAAUCUUAUGACAACUUUUGCCAGUGGAUACCUUGGCUCUGAGAUCGAUGAAGACCGCAGCAAACUGCGAUAAGUCAUGUGAAUUGCAGAAUUCCGUGAAUCAUGUCAGAUGUUGAACGCAAAUUGCGCCCCGGUGUUAAACUUGGGCAUGUCUAUUCGAGUGUCUUCAAUAAAUAAUCAUAAAUUGAUACUAAUCUUUAUUAUUAUUAAUUUAUGGAGUUGGAAGAUCAACAAAUUUAUUAUUUUUUGAUAUUCUUAAAUUGAAUUGGAGGCAAUACUCUUGUGAUCAUUAUGAAUCGUUUCAUUAACUAAAAAACGACGUCUUGAUUUGGUGAUGUGUGGAUUAACUUGUUUAAUUCCCUCCGCUGUUGAAUUAAGUGAAUUUAUUUUACAAUACUCCAGUGUGGGAUAUCCCGUUUCGAGAGACUGUUUAAUCUUAUUGAUGAACUACAAUUUCGAUUGUUUUCAAAUGUGGAGAGUAUAUAACAGCGUCCUUAGUCUUUUAUUAGAUUUCGUCCAAGAAAUCAAGACAAAUUAGAAUGAUGAUGAAAAUUCAUCAUUAUUCUUUUUUUAUUAAUCUCGACCUCGAAUUAGGCAAGACUACGCGCUGAACUUAAGCAUAUUACUAAGCGCAGGAAAAGAAAAUAACAAUGAUUCCCUCAGUAACGGCGAGUGAAGCGGGAACAGCUCAAGCUUAAAAUCUGGGUUUCUAAUGAAGCUCCGAAUUGUAGUUUUUGGAUUGGCAAUUGCGGUGUAUGAAGUUUUUUGGGCGUAAGUUCUUUGGAACAAGGCAUCAGAGAGGGUGAGAAUCCCGUAUGCAGCCUGGCCGAGUACACAAUACGCAUUUGUCUUUCUACGAGUCGGUAUGAUUGGGACUUCAUACCAAAGUAGGAGGUAGUUCUCUUCUAAAGCUAAAUAUAACUCAGAGACCGAUAGCGAAGAAGUAGUGUGAACGAAAGGUGAAAAGAACUUUGAAAAAAAGGUCAAAAGUACUUGAAGCUGGUAAAAGGGAACGAUAUGAUGGCAGUGAUUGCGCGCAGCAACUCACUCUGUUUGCUAAAGACAGUGCAGGAUGCACGGUGGUGUACGCCCCGGAGCUUUUUGAUUGUUGAGGUAAACGGAGGUACUUUGUUGUGUCGCGAGUCAACAUCAGUUCGGUUUGUCAAUGGAGAAAGAUAGCUGGAAGGUGGGUUGCUCUUUCGGGAGUGACUGUUAUAACCGGCUGUUGCAUACAUUGGCCUGGACUGUGGAAGAAAACACGUGCCUCGGCGAGGAAGUUGGUGGACCCGGGUGACUGGAAAUAUGCGUCUGCAUGCAGGUCGUGUUUCCGAGUUAUCUGGCAAAAGCUGACCCCAUCAGCGUGUUCGGCAUGUUGACGAAAUGGCUUCAUAUCACCCGUCUUGAAACACGGACCAAGGAGACUAUUAUGUCUGCAAGCAUUCGAUUGGAAAAAUCAUAGUGCGUAAUGAAAGUAAAUGAUGCGAAGCCGCAAGGUUGCAGCAUCGACCGCCCAUUCUCAAGAUUGGUGUGCGUCAGAGUAGACAUGAUGGGACCCGAAAGAUGGUGAACUUACCGCGCGCAGGGUGAAGCCAGAGGAAACUCUGGUGGAGGCUCGUAUAAGAUACUGACGUGCAAAUCGUUCUUCUGACGUGCGUUAAGGGGCGAAAGACUAAUCGAACCAUCUAGUAGCUGGUUCCCAC